RNAcentral lists this ribosomal RNA (2961 nucleotides) under Ambystoma mexicanum (axolotl). Its description in RNAcentral is "eukaryotic LSU rRNA". It matches the Rfam family "Eukaryotic large subunit ribosomal RNA", at positions 1670 to 3401 of the family's 3401-position model. The record is from RNAcentral. Lineage: Eukaryota; Metazoa; Chordata; Amphibia; Caudata; Ambystomatidae.
ACCAUGCACCCCGGGGUGAGUUCUAUUUUCUUUGUGAACGGCAGAGCACCCUGGAAUGGGUUUGCCCCAAGCUUUGGAAAGCAUCAUGUUUCAGGCAGUGUACAGUGAGCUCUCACUGGUACUUGUUAAUCCACUGUAGAUGGUGUAAAAUCUCACAGCGGCCUGUAGCUAUAUUCACAGCAGGGCUCCAAGGUGAACAGCCUCUGGCAUGUUGGAACAGUGUAGGUAAGGGAAGUCGGCAUGUCAUAUCCAUAAUUUCAGGAUGAGAAUUGGCUCUAAGGGCUGGGUGGGUCAGGCUGGUGCAUGUAGCAGGGCUGGCUAUUCACCACUGCCGUACAAGGCAUCUCCAGCCCAGGGGCCCGCCAACUCUGGAUGCAAGCCAUGCCCUUCCUGUAGAUAGCCCCUGCUGGGGUGGUGGCUUCUCUCUGUUUCCCUCCCGGGGUUCCGGGCUAGUAUUCUGCCUCAGCCAAUCCCUAGUAGCUGACUUAGAACUGGUGCUGCCCAUGGCAAUCUGACAGUUUAAUUGAAACAAGGCAUCACAAAGGCCUGCAGUGGGUGUUGAGUUAAUAUGAUUUCUGCACAGUGUUCUAAACGUCAAAGUGAAGAAAUUCGAUAAUGCGCAGGUAAACAGUGGGAGUAACUAUGACUCUCUUAACCUUUCUGAAUCAUAGUGACCCUUACCUCCGCGUGGUCCUGCUGGUAACUAUCCCUGUUGGAUGAGUCGGUUAGGAGGAGUCUGUUUGGGUUUUGAAAAAAGGAUAUAACAUCUCCACCUAUGCUGACCAUGGUCUGGCAGCUAGGGUUGCUAAGAGAAACGGUGAAUCGAAACAACCAAUUCCAUAUGAGGUAUUCCCUGGAUCAACAAAACCUUGUUAGGAAGUUGGGGUUGCUUCCUCUCAAAAAUUCAAACCCCACACACUGGUUUAGAUGGAUAAGAUCAAGCUGAGAGAGAAGGCAGACACAGAUGGGCCCCGUAAAUAGCUUGCAAAACUUGCUCAACCACCCAGUCUAAUUGAUGAUCUGCAAGGCAUCAAGAUCUCAGCAUUAAGGCACAAAGGGCCUCAUUACGACCCUGGCGCUAAUGGGUUAACGGUGGCCGUAAAAGGCUGGCGGCGCCGUUAACCCAUUAGCGCCUGAUUACGAGGUCCCUUUGCGGGACCCGACCUUAACGGCUGGUCUACACCAGCCGUUAAAGUAGGGACCCGCAAAGGGACCUUGGUACGGUACCGUAAUUUGCGGUAUCGUACUUAGCACCUUCCCCAUUCCCAUAGAGCCCUAUGGGACGAAAAUGGGAAUGGGGAAGGGCCAAUGUUCAAUGGGGAAUUACCGCCCCGCCAACCUCGGAAUGGGGUGGUAAUUCCCCAUUGAACCAUGGCGGAUCCGUUACAACACCGGCACUAACCAUGGUGCUAAUAGCGCAAUGGUUUAGCGCCGGUGUUGUAAUGACGGCCAAAGAGUUUGAGGGAGUUCCUUAUGAUGGAGGAAUACCAAGAAUCUGGACUAGAAAUUGAUGGAUGACUGCCAAAAUGAAUCAGAUAGAGCACACCAGGAUGCCUGCCGAUACAGGCCUGUGAUGGUUAAUGAAGGUAAUGAAGGUCAUAGCCAUGGAGGGAUUACUGUACCUGUAAACCAUGCUCUUGCAAUACCAACUCCUAAAUUGAUUCUGUUGAGGGAUCCAGAAUCAGACUCUGAACUUUCAUCCUGAUGGUUGUGUUGGACCGUGACUCUAUGGGCACCUGCCCUCCAAUAUUAUAGAUUUUUAUAAAUGUUAUAAAUGUAUAUAUAUAUAUAUAUAUAUAUAUAUACUGUUUUAGUUAAUAUUGUUAAGGGGGUCUAAAAGUGAUGUAUUAUUACAUAUAUAUAUUGAUCUGGUGUAUGUAUGGCACCAGGUAUGCCUAUAGUAUGCUUUGGUGUUUAAAUGAUUAUGCAUUCAGCUUUACCCCGGAAUGAGCCACUCUGGUGGUAAAAAAAAUUCAAAAUUUCAUGUCUUCUCAUUGUUGGCAUGUAUGAAAGGAUUAACAGAUUCUCACUGUCCAUACCUACUAUCUAGUAAACCACAGCCAAGGGAACAAGCUUGGCAAAAUCAGCGAGAAUUGGAGACCCUGUUGAGCUUGACUAUAGUCUGGUACAGUGAGGAGACAUGAGAGGUGUAGGAUAGGUGGGAGGCCCUCGAGCCAGUGGUAAACUACCACCAUUGUCAUAAUCUUCUCACUUACCCAGUGAGGUUGAGGGGUCAAGCCCCAUGGGGCUGUCACCUCUGGCUCCAAGCACCCGCUCCAUACAGGCAUUACCUAUUCUAGGACAUUGACAGGUGGGGUGCUUGACUGAGGCAGAACACCUAUCCUAUGAUAAUGCAGGUGUCAUAAGGUAAGCUCAGUGAGGACAGAAACAUCCUGUGGAGACGAAGGGCAAUAGCUUACUGGAUCUUGAUUUUCUGUAUGAAAACAGACCAUGUAAGUGGGGCAUCACAAUCCUUCUGACUUUUUGUGUUUCCAGCAGGAGGUGUGCGAAAAUAACUGUCUUGUGGCAGCCAAGAAUACAUAGCAACAUCGCAUUUUGAUCCUUUCAUGUCAGCUCUUCCUAUCAUUGUGAAGCAGAAUUUAGCAAACGUUGGAUUGUUCACCCACUAAUAGGGAAUUUGAUCGGGUUUAGACCGUCUUGUGGCAGGUUAAGUUUUCUCUACUGUUAAUGUAUUGUUGCAAUAGUAAUCCUGCUCAGUACGAGAGCAACUGCAUGUUCAGAUAUUUGGUGUAUAUGCUUGACUGAGGAGCCAAUGGGGCGAGCUGUCAUCUGUGAGAUUAUUACUGAAUACCUCUAAGUAAGAAUCCCCCCUAAUCUAUAAUGUGGAGCCUCAGUUGUUCUAGGAUAGCCAGUCUCUGGGCCGGUGCAUAGAGCUGCUUGCCUCAGGACUCAUGUCUGGACAGAAGGGACAACCUCUCUUGCCCGUAGUGAACCACAUGU